UGAACGCUGGCGGCGUGCAUAACACAUUCGAAGUCGAACGGACGACGGGCUUCGGCCCGAAGUUAGUGGCGGACGGGUGAGUAACGCGUGAGCAACCUGCCCCUGUGUGCGGGAUAACGUCUGGAAACGGACGCUAAUACCGCAUGACCCAAUAGAAUCGCAUGGUUCAGAUGGCAAAGAUUUAUUGCACAGGGAUGGGCUCGCGUCCGAUUAGAUAGUUGGCGGUGCAACGGACCACCAAGUCGACGAUCGGUAGCCGGACUGAGAGGUUGAACGGCCACAUUGGAACUGAGAUACGGUCCAGACUCCUACGGGAGGCAGCAGUGGGGAAUAUUGGGCAAUGGGCGAAAGCCUGGAACCCCCAGCGACGCCGCGUGAAGGAAGACGGUCUUCGGAUUGUAAACUUCUUUUAUGUAGGACGAAAGCAAUGACGGUACUACAGGAAUAAGCCACGGCUAACUACGUGCCAGCCGCUGC
This 477-nucleotide ribosomal RNA is filed under the name uncultured bacterium. RNAcentral describes it as "bacterial SSU rRNA". It matches the Rfam family "Bacterial small subunit ribosomal RNA", at positions 30 to 518 of the family's 1533-position model. The record is from RNAcentral.